ACUUAUUGAAUAUAGUUAUUCUUAUAUUAGUUAUAGCCUUCUUUUUGCAUUUUAUACAAAAAUGGGAAAUAUGAUGAUAUCUUGUUUGUACAAAUAAAGCUUGCCUGAAGAUCAGAGGGUGGAGCUUGCCACUGCUACCAGUUAACCUUAGAAGUCUAGAGGUCUGUACAGACAGACAGGAAGUGACAUGGCUUGGCAGAGAAAGGAAGUGAAAAGUCAAGAGGACACAGGAGCUCAGUCUCUUUUUGACUGGGAAGUUGAGUAGGUAGCCUGGGUUGGAUAAGAAGGACUGAGCAACCCAAAGGGAGCAAGCCACUGGGCAGCAUUGCUCUGCUUCGCUUCCUGUCCAGACAAACCCUUCAGUGACAGACUAUGACAUGGAAGGGAGCAGGGCAAACUUAAAAGCCUUAAAUACGGAGGAGUGAAGUCAACAGGUAUCCUGGGAAUUGCUGCUUGGGGCAGGGUCACGAAGGCGUAUGGCUGCUCCUUAAGGAUUUGAUGUCUUCUGCUUCUAAAGAUCAGCUGUUUCCAAGUCCCAACUGGAACUGCAUCCACCAGUUGGCAGACAGCCUCUGUGAUGGCUCCACUAAAGAGGCAGAAACGUUCUUUUCAGGGAGCAUACAUUUCUAAUUGGAGAAUGGCCACACUGAGGUUGCCCUGGCUGAAUUCACUCCGGGGCUCUCUGCUCAAUACUGGCAGUUAGGAUUUAAUCAGCAAACCCAGGUGAGUGGCUGUUCUCCAUGUUGUUAUUACAGGAUGGAGGGGGAAAAAAAUCACUGAGAUUAGUCAAUACAGAACCGUCAGAGCUGGAGAGACUGUUUAGUGAUUAAGAGCACUUGUUGCCUUUCCAGAGGAUUUGAUUCCCAGGGCCUACGUGGCAGCUCACAGCCAUCUGUAAAAUAUAACUCUAGUUCCAGAGGAUCUGACACAUUUUUCUGGCAUCAGCAGGCACUGUAUGUACGUGGUGCACAGACAUGUAUACAGGAAAAAACACAGAUACACAUAAAAGUAAGGAAAUACUUAAAAAGAAAUAGCUGUCUAGUUGAGUCUGCAUACAGCUCACAAGUGUGCAGCACUACUGAGUCACAACCUCACGGAUCCUGUCUUCGUAACAGUGAGAACUGAGGGAGAGAGAUCAUACAUGUUGUUAGGACCUGAUGAUGGUGGCAGCAGUGAGGAGCUUCCAGCACGUGCAAGACCACCACUGAGGAUUUUUUUUCAUCUGAAAAUCAAUGUAUUAUGAUGUACCUGACUUACAGUCAAGCAAUUCAGGCUAAAAGUCGACAAAGCAUCCCCAAAGAUGACCACUCGGGUCCCGUUAAGUACCUGCUGUGGUAGGGAACUGGCUGCCUCUGCAGAAUGCUCCAGCCGUGUAUGGCUUGGUGGAAAGCAUACGCAAGAGGACGGUGGUACGAAGAAUACAACAAAACAAGUGAUUCAAAUUCAGAAGGGGAGAACAUAUAGCUCGAAAGAUACUGUUAAAGGAUCAUUAUACCCAGUUUUUCUUAUUAUACCCAAUGUAGUGGUUUGAAAGAAAAUGGCCCCCAAAGGGAGUUGCACUAUAGCAGGGGUGGCCUUGUUGGAGUAGGUGUGGCCUUGUUGGGGGAAGUCUAUCAGCGUGGGGGUAGGCUUUGAGGCCUUUUUCUCAAGCUUCACUCAGUGUGACAGUUCAGUUGACUUCCUGUUGCUUAUAAAUUGUAGGACUCUCAGCUACUCCAGAUCCUCUUCAUCCUGCAUGCCACCAUGCCCCCUGUCAGGACAAUAAUGGGCUAAUGCUCUGAAACUGGAAGCAAGCUCCCUCAAUUAAAUGUUUUCCUUGUAAGAUUUGCUGUGUUUAUGGUGUCUCCUCAUAGCAAUAGAAACCCAAACUAAGACACCCAGUAUUUCUUUUUUUCCCUAGCAAAGAUUAGAAGAUACAGAAACUGCUUGCAGCGUCUUUGUUAGCACAAGUGGGUCAGAGGGUAAUAAUGCUCUUCUGUUGUAUCAUGUAUUCUUUUGUAG
RNAcentral lists this long non-coding RNA (2001 nucleotides) under Cricetulus griseus (Chinese hamster). Its description in RNAcentral is "lncRNA (ENSCGRG00015030320.1)". Lineage: Eukaryota; Metazoa; Chordata; Mammalia; Rodentia; Cricetidae. The record is from RNAcentral.